Molecule: long non-coding RNA, 655 nt
Organism: Mustela erminea (ermine)
Lineage: Eukaryota; Metazoa; Chordata; Mammalia; Carnivora; Mustelidae
Exons: 3
Source: RefSeq, a predicted model, not a curated record
UACAGCAUUUGGAGUUUUAUAGUUCAUCAUGUUGAAGUUAGUUAAGGAAAAAAGAAAAAAGGGUUAGUUUUUCAGUAGCAUGGUGUUGGUUGAGCUUAUAAAACGGCCCCUAUCAUUUUGGAUGGAUUUUAUCUGUAUUGUGGAUCUAAUUGUAAAUUUCAAGUCACACCAAAAUCUUUGAUCACCUCCACACCAUAUUGAUAAAAAGUAAAUCUACACAUUUGAUUUAUUCUUACAAUCAAGAAGUGAAAUAAUUGAGGAGCUCCUAUGGACUACAAUUACUAAAAGAAGGAAUAAAACACAAGUGAUCUCACCAAGCUACAAUUAUGUGGACAGGAAGAAUGAUAUGGGAGAAUCACAUCCUUCACACCACCCAUCUGUCCAACGUACACAGAGCAUGUCAUGGGUCCUGUCUCCCAAAAGUACUGUGCUAAGGACUGCAUGUGCAUUACCCAGCUGAAUACUUCUAAUAACCUUAUGAGAGAGAUAACAGCAUCCCCAUUAUCUAGACAAAGAAGGAGAAACUUUAAAAGGUAAAGUAACUGGCAAAAUGUUGGCCAGGCAAUAAGUCAAAUAAUGUACUCAAACUCAUGCCGUCUGAAUUCAGAGCCUCAAGUUGAAUUGUUUCGCCAUAGUCUCACAGAGGAUGGGAGCC